GUGCAGCAGGCGCGAAAACUCCGCAAUGCGCGAAAGCGUGACGGGGUCACCCCGAGUGUCACCCGCUGAGGGUGACUUUUACCCGGUUUAAUGAGCCGGGUGAAUAAGGGGAGGGCAAGUCUGGUGUCAGCCGCCGCGGUAAUACCAGCUCCUCGAGUGGUUGGGACGAUUAUUGGGUCUAAAGCGUCCGUAGCCGGCCGGAAAAGUUCCCCGUUAAAUCCGACGAUCCAAUCGCCGGGCUGCGGAGAAUACUGUCCGUCUUGGCGGCGGGGGAGGUCAGCGGUAGUCCCGGGGUAGGGGCGAAAUCUUAUAAUCCCGGGAGGAACACCAGUGGCGAAGGCGGCCGACUAAAACGCGCCCGACGGUGAGGGACGAAAGCUGGGGGAGCGAACGGGAUUAGAUACCCCCGUAGUCC
This 415-nucleotide ribosomal RNA is filed under the name uncultured archaeon. RNAcentral describes it as "partial 16S ribosomal RNA". It matches the Rfam family "Archaeal small subunit ribosomal RNA", at positions 330 to 747 of the family's 1478-position model. The record is from RNAcentral.